This 253-nucleotide ribosomal RNA is filed under the name uncultured bacterium. Its description in RNAcentral is "partial 16S ribosomal RNA". It matches the Rfam family "Bacterial small subunit ribosomal RNA", at positions 524 to 776 of the family's 1533-position model. The record is from RNAcentral.
UACGGAGGGUGCAAGCGUUAAUCGGAAUUACUGGGCGUAAAGCGCACGCAGGCGGUUAAUUAAGUUAGAUGUGAAAUCCCCGGGCUUAACCUGGGAAUGGCAUCUAAAACUGGUUAGCUAGAGUCUUGUAGAGGGGGGUAGAAUUCCAUGUGUAGCGGUGAAAUGCGUAGAGAUGUGGAGGAAUACCGGUGGCGAAGGCGGCCCCCUGGACAAAGACUGACGCUCAGGUGCGAAAGCGUGGGGAGCAAACAGG